UGCAUCCACGGCUGCCAUGGCCAUGGAUGGCCUCCACGUCGUUCCCCUCGGCCUAUAAACAUGCCCAACCGCAACCCUAGCUCCCCCUCAUCCGUUUCCCCCUUGAUCCCCCAUCAGCCCCCUUCUCAUCUGCUCGAAUUCGAGGUCGGAACCUCGCGCGACGAUUGUGCUCGUCAUCACCGUCGUCUCCGGCAUGCGGGAGCACGUCCAGGAGGUCCGGCGCGGCCGGAUCCGUCUGUCCAGGGACCAGCACAAGCCGGGACGUCCCGUACAUUCGCCAUCGACGUCGUCCUCUCCGUGUACAUCGUCGCCGUCCGCCAUCGUUUGCCACUGCUCCGAGCCGUCCCCUGCCUCCCCCGCCUCGCCGUCGCGCUCGUGAUGACGGAUCCUAGGAGCCAGACGACACCACUGAUGAUUACCACUACCCCGAGAGUGCCUACUACAACGUGACGGCCGCUGACGACUUGGAGUAGUUAGGAGGCUCCCAGGCAGGAGGCCUUGCCUUUUCGAUCGUUGUUGUUUUUGUGCUAGCCAUCUUAAGGCAAACUUGUUUAACUCAUGUCUGUACUCAGAUAUUGUUGCUUCCGCUGACUCUUGUGUUUUCGAGCUUAUGUAUUUGAGCCCUCGAGGCCCCUGGCUUGUAAUAUAAAGCUUGUAUUAUUUUAA
This is a long non-coding RNA of Triticum aestivum (bread wheat), 666 nucleotides long. RefSeq lists it as uncharacterized. The record is from RefSeq and is a predicted model, not a curated record. NCBI's taxonomy places the organism in Eukaryota, Viridiplantae, Streptophyta, Magnoliopsida, Poales, Poaceae. The transcript has 2 exons.